Molecule: long non-coding RNA, 243 nt
Filed under: Homo sapiens (human)
Lineage: Eukaryota; Metazoa; Chordata; Mammalia; Primates; Hominidae
Description: HSALNT0116067
Source: RNAcentral
GGGACACACUUUCUGGGCACUGCUGGCCAGUCCCAAAAUGGAACAUAAGGAAGUGGUUCUUCUACUUCUUUUAUUUCUGAAAUCAGCACCUGAGCAAAGCCAUGUGGUCCAGGAUUGCUACCAUGGUGAUGGACAGAGUUAUCGAGGCACGUACUCCACCACUGUCACAGGAAGGACCUGCCAAGCUUGGUCAUCUAUGACACCACAUCAACAUAAUAGGACCACAGAAAACUACCCAAAUGC